GCGAAAGUGGUGUAAUGGUAACAUUCUUGGGUUCCACCUGAGAGAUUGAGGGUUCGAGUCCUUCCUUUCGCU
This 72-nucleotide transfer RNA is filed under the name Peribacillus frigoritolerans. RNAcentral describes it as "tRNA-Gly". It matches the Rfam family "tRNA". Rfam says of the family: Transfer RNA (tRNA) molecules are approximately 80 nucleotides in length. Their secondary structure includes four short double-helical elements and three loops (D, anti-codon, and T loops). The record is from RNAcentral. Lineage: Bacteria; Bacillati; Bacillota; Bacilli; Caryophanales; Bacillaceae.